Molecule: ribosomal RNA, 257 nt
Filed under: uncultured prokaryote
Description: partial 16S ribosomal RNA
Rfam family: Bacterial small subunit ribosomal RNA
Source: RNAcentral
UGGGGAAUCAUGGUCAAUGGGCGAAAGCCUGAACCUGCGACGCCGCGUGAGUGAUGAAGGUCGUAAGAUCGUAAAACUCUUUUCAGGGAUCUUAAAGCACAACCGUCAACAACGGCUGUGUGUGACUCUCCCUGGAAGAAGCCCCAGCCAACUACGUGCCAGCAGCUGCGGUAAUACGUAGGGGGCGAGCGUUAUUCGGAAUUACUGGGUGUAAGGGUAGGUAGGCGGCCCUUCAAGUCGCGGGUCAAAGUCCAGUG